Long non-coding RNA from Mya arenaria, 1576 nucleotides. RefSeq lists it as uncharacterized. The transcript has 6 exons. The record is from RefSeq and is a predicted model, not a curated record. NCBI's taxonomy places the organism in Eukaryota, Metazoa, Mollusca, Bivalvia, Myida, Myidae.
UUUUAUGCUCAAAUAUACAUUAUUUACAUACGCAUACUUCAUGUUUAACUUAACAUAUUUGAUUCAACUGAAAAGAGAAGUAUUAAUAGUAACAUUACUAACUUCAUUAUUUAUGGUAUGUGUCAUCAGAACAUUCGCUUACAAGUGUCGUUAAGUAUGAGUAUACGUACUUGAUUUUGAACUCACCGAAAGGAGUGACCUGUUGUUAAGCGGAAGUAAUGCAUUUUUUAAUCACCUUAAACGACCACGAAGUUAUUUUCAAUAAUCCAGAGAGAACCAGAUCGCAACUUCGGUCUACAUUAAGAACGAGAUGAAUUUUGUGGUACUGAAUGUUGAUCCAAUGGAAAGGAAAUGGACAUGCCAAGCCCAGCAACAUAUAUGUCUACCCGAUGUAGUCAAACGAGGUAGGUGUAAGAUGGCCGCCAAGAUCGAAGACCAACCUAACCGGCUGUACUAGACCGCAGUGCAAUAUGAAGUAGCACCGAAUCAACGACGAUGGAUUCGCUGCUAAGAUGUUACUUAUUGGAUUAUAACAAGAACUGAUGAGCCAGGUAUGUGCUAGAUGGACUCCUGGUUCGAAGGUCAACCUUAUAUAAGCUCGAAGUUUAGCCUUAUAGUGUGCCGACGACGAUGGAUUCGCUACUUCUCACUUUUUCUGCACGUAUUUUGACACGAAAUUUGGAGACAACAGUCCGAGGAAAAAUGUCCCUGAACACUCCACAGCGUUCGAUGAAUACUCUCCGACGAAGAUGUAUUGGACUAAUACAGUGUAAAAAACAAACGGCACUAUAAAGAGAACAUGGCUAACCUUUUCGUACAAAACAACUUGACGGGGACUUGACAGGAUAUACAAUUGCAAGAAAAACAAAUAUCGAGAACUUACUUGAAAUUGAUAUCGUUGUGUAUAGUGCAUUGAAUCUAACUUACUGGUGUUCCAAAACGCUUACGACAAAUUUAUCUUUCGCAGUUUUUGCGUAUUUUUUCAAUUCAAAAUCUACUGGAAUUGUCUACCCAGUAAGUUUUAAAUAACAUCGAUAUAAUUGUCACGUGAUUUUCACAUGUUACUUAUACACAUAACAUCGUUUUCCAAAAGGACGGACAGUGCAAUAAAGCGGAAAACUGCUGCAAAAAAUGUAGAUACAGAGUCCGACAGGUUGAUUUCGGUGAUGAAGUUAAUCGAUGAAAUUUUUUAAAGAGAUUACCACUGCUGAAGCUGACAGGGCGUUAGCUAAAACAAGUUUGACUGGUUAAUGUAUGGAACGAUCACGUGACUUGCAAAAUGUUCAGAAAAACGAACAUACCGAGCUGUUUAUGAACGGAGAAACUUGCCUGGGACCGGCUGUGAGACAACUGUUGUGCUUAUUCUUCAAAUCAUGUAAAAUGAUGUAUUAUCGGUCUCAUUCUAGCUCGUUUUGACAAGUAUAUGCUUGUUUUGAGGAAAUACUAUAUUCGCCGAUUUGGGGACCAUCUAGUUUCUAGUCCGAAAUGUUGACAUUAUUAUAAAAAUAUUUGUUUGUGGUGGUGUAUAUAGUGUGUAUUAAGUAUUGAACGUAUUAAAGUUUAGUCAGAAUGUGAA